RNAcentral lists this long non-coding RNA (1112 nucleotides) under Equus asinus (donkey). Its description in RNAcentral is "lncRNA (ENSEASG00005036742.1)". The record is from RNAcentral. Lineage: Eukaryota; Metazoa; Chordata; Mammalia; Perissodactyla; Equidae.
UUUGACCAGUGUACCUAGUCAUCCACUUUCUGUAGAGGGAAGUGGCUUGAGGUAAAGUAUAUAUCAACUCAUUGGUAGUGGUGAAUAGCUUGGUUGAAUUUCUUAGGGUCCUGGAAAAAUAAAGCCUGAAAAAAUCAGGGACCAAGUGGUAUGGGGAAGAAGCAUAUGGAUUUGCACUAACCAUGUCUCAUUAUUCUGUAUUUUUGAUGUUUUGACAUCUUGGUCUGACCCUAGGAUGACUACCCCUCCUAGGGCUAGCUAUUUCCUGGAGAUAGCAAACAACUCACCUGCAACUGCACCUUUAAUGUAUAAACCAACCACCUCCUCUAUCAGGCUCUGACAUUCUGGGCCACUGUGCCUCUGCCCUAAUCACUCCAGAGCCAGGUACAAGACUACUAGAGAUAGUCCCUAAACUCCAGAGUCUGCUGUAAUUAUUCAAACUAGCCAGUCCCAAACAUCCUUAUCCUGUCUUAGUUACUCUUCCCCACAGAAACCACAAUAAAAUAUCUUGCCAUUUUCCCCCUCUCCCUCUGCCUCCUGAUUGACCAUGGUGCUUCCCUGUGUGACUCCCCGUGGUAUGGACUGCAACCUCCUCCUGGGAUCUAAUGACCAGAAGAGUCCUCUAGUGACAAUGUUGAAAUAUGAUGAAUCCUGUAACAUGAUAAUAGAAGAAUUUAUUUACCAGAAUGCCUCUGAGGAAGACAUCACCUUUUCUAAUGAGGAACAGUGAUUGUCCAUUCCUCAUAUAUGCCCUGCAUUUUCUCACCUCAAGGAUUUUGAUCAAUGUGAACUCUAUAUGUGGAAUGUCCUUUUCAUCUCUACUUGAUCUUCCAAACGUGUCAUUGAUAACUUGCUAGCUGCUGGUGGAUGACUGACAGUGCUGAUGAUGGUUUGAUCACUUGAUCCAGCUUCAGUCUACUCAUGUGAAAUGUGCCUGUUGUCACAAGAUGAACAUCACCAGAAUUCAUAAAAUGUCAUGGAGAUGGUGGAAGACAAAGUCAUAGAGCUUAAAGUUCGGAGAAGAAAUGUUCUGAAGCCACUACAGCUCUUCAGUUCAGCUGUGUACUACAAAUGCUAACUGUAUAAAAGCUACAUCUUUCAAUAAAUUAAAG